RNAcentral lists this ribosomal RNA (440 nucleotides) under uncultured bacterium. Its description in RNAcentral is "partial 16S ribosomal RNA". It matches the Rfam family "Bacterial small subunit ribosomal RNA", at positions 338 to 795 of the family's 1533-position model. The record is from RNAcentral.
CCUACGGGAGGCAGCAGUGGGGAAUAUUGCACAAUGGCCGAAACGCUGAUGCAGCGACGUCGCGUGAGUGAAGAAGUAUCUCUGUAUGUAAAGCUUCAUUUGUAGGGAAGUAAAUGUAUCCACCUGUGUAUGUUUCCCUGGCCAAUUUCGUUCCAGCACCCGCGGUAAUAUGCAGGCGGCCAGCGUUAUCCGGAUUUACUGGGUGUAAAGGGAGCGUAGUCGGUUGCGCAAGUCAGGAGUGAAAUCUUGUGGCUUAACCAUAGAACUGCUUUGGAAACUGGACGACUGGAGUGCGGGGGAGGUAGGCGGAAUUCGUGGUGUAGCGGUGAAAUGCAUAGAUAUUAGGAAGAACACCGGUGGCGAAGGCAGCUUACUAAGCUAUAACUGACAUUGAAGCUCGAAAGCGUGGGGAGCAAACAGGAUUAGAUACCCGAGUAGUC